This 1521-nucleotide long non-coding RNA is filed under the name Sorghum bicolor (sorghum). RNAcentral describes it as "long non-coding RNA (SBIC_LNC015323)". The record is from RNAcentral. Lineage: Eukaryota; Viridiplantae; Streptophyta; Magnoliopsida; Poales; Poaceae.
GCAAAAAAUGAAUGGCAAAGUGGAGGAGACAUUGGAGGGCUUUAGCAGCUCCGCCACAGUAUUGCUAGAGUACUCAGAGCCGGAGCCUAAGCCAAACAGGCCCUUAUAUUAGUCAGCGUAGCAGCAUCUUCCCACUAACAGUGACAUGUUACAUACAUUGCCUUAGUGGACCUCACAUGGCUUGAGCUAGUUUGGUGUGGCAAUGAAGGGCUCCCGACACCUCAACCACAUAGGUUGAUCCUUCGUUAUCCAUGCUUAGGUUUCUUCGGUUGCUGUCAUGGUGUGGGUUUUGUGUUGUGUUGUUUUAUCUUCAUCAAUACAUGCUAUGUAUUAAUACUGCUCGCUUCUUUUCGUGUAAUAUAUGCCUUGUUUAGUUUUAAUUUUUUUUUACAAAACGGACACUGUAGUAUUUUUGUUUGUAUUUGACAAAAAUUAUCUAAUCAUGGACUAACUAGACUCAAAAGAUUCGUCUUACAAAUUACAGAUAAACUGUGUAAUUAGUUAUUAUUUUUAUAUAUAUUUAGUGCUUUAUGCAUACACUGCAAGAUUCAAUGUGUGAGUGGGAAUCUAAAAGUUUUUGUAUUUUUUUUUUUGAACUAAAAACAAGGCCUAUAGUUUAAAGACUCGAACAACAGUAUUGCCAAAAAAACAAAGUAAGCAACACUGUACGUUUGUGAGCAAUUUGUGCACGCGAGGUCAAAUCUAGUUAAUCCAGUCUGAGACUAGCUAGCUGAUAUUCAAAUCAUCAUUCUCUUUUGUCUCUUGUCUGCAUUUUGAUCCAUAGCUUGAAUGUUUGAACCGACACCAGCCAGAACAAUUUUGCACGUGACCGUCUGCGUCUCUCUAUAGGGCGUGCUUCAUGUCUGCUUCAGUUGGCGCGUGUACUAUGUACGUACUCCGGCGUCUCCCCCCGGCCGGCGCAUCGUAUGACCAAAAUUGUACUGUAUCCUCACUGUGCCUGUUGUGGCCAGGUUCAUGCACGCAUGAUACAAAACAUGUUACCCAACACGUGCAUCAUCCAUGUGUAUUCCACGCAUGCAAAAUAAACAUGCUGCCACGACACGCGCAUAUUUCCACUGCAAGAAUAUGACCAACGUGUCCAUGUGCAUAUAAGCUGGACUGGUCGUGGCCACGCCACAUUAUUACCGUACGAUCGACGUGCUUGAUCAGCAUGCACCAAAAUACAGGAAAAGACUACGUUGUGUAUGAAUGCUAGAAUAAUACCCAGCGAGUUGCUGCGGGAUUGUAGAUUAGUGGAUUACGUGGCAAUGGUGAUAUGGAUAACAAAUAAUGUGUCUUACUAACGUGGAUAUUACAAUUACAUGAGCUAGUGGAUUUUAGUUGUGUAUGAUAGUGCAUUAUCUAGUUAUGUUGAGAGAAAUAUGUGACUUGCUAAUAUGGAUAUUGUAUGCAUGAGCUGAUGGAUUUUAAUUAUAUGUGAAUUCGCUGUAGCUGUAGGUGCUCACUGUUUCUCUGUGUAUUUUUUAUUAUAAAAUAUCCUAGCUGCGUCGUAUAUAUGCU